Molecule: ribosomal RNA, 253 nt
Filed under: uncultured bacterium
Lineage: Bacteria
Description: partial 16S ribosomal RNA
Rfam family: Bacterial small subunit ribosomal RNA
Source: RNAcentral
UACAGAGAGUGCAAGCGUUAAUCGGAAUCACUGGGCGUAAAGCGCAUGUAGGUGGGUAUUUAAGUCGGAUGUGAAAUCCCUGGGCUUAACCUGGGAAUUGCAUUCGAUACUGGAUAUCUCGAGUAUGGUAGAGGGAAGUGGAAUUUCCGGUGUAGCGGUGAAAUGCGUAGAUAUCGGAAAGAACAUCAGUGGCGAAGGCGGCUUCCUGGACCAAUACUGACACUAAAGUGCGAAAGCGUGGGGAGCAAACAGG